GAUAAUAAUAAUAAACAAUAAUAAUAAUAUUUUAAGUAAUAUAUAAAAUACUUGAGUCGUGCUAGGCACUGUCCUAAGAAACUACUCCCGCAAUGUAAAAUAUUUUUCCAGGAUUAAACAAGUACUUCCCUAAUUAAUUAGAGGAUAUCCGAAUUUAAUAAGUGUUCCCUUAAUUAAUCAGAAGAUAUGGGAAUCAGCAAAAUUAAUUAUAAAACAUCAAGUUUAAUUUUAGAAAAGUAAAUAAUAAUGAUGAAUGACUGAAUAAAAUAUGAGGAAAUUAAUUGAGAAGGAAUAUAUGAGAGAGGGAAAAGUAGUAUUUGAGAG
This 324-nucleotide long non-coding RNA is filed under the name Capsicum annuum. RNAcentral describes it as "long non-coding RNA (CANN_LNC014511)". The record is from RNAcentral. Lineage: Eukaryota; Viridiplantae; Streptophyta; Magnoliopsida; Solanales; Solanaceae.